CGCCUGGGGAGUGCGGCCGCAAGGUUAAAACUCAAAUGAAUUGACGGGGGCCCGCACAAGCGGUGGAGCAUGUGGUUUAAUUCGACGCAACGCGAAGAACCUUACCUGGCCUUGACAUGCAGAGAACUUUCCAGAGAUGGAUUGGUGCCUUCGGGAACUCUGACACAGGUGCUGCAUGGCCGUCGUCAGCUCGUGUCGUGAGAUGUUGGGUUAAGUCCCGUAACGAGCGCAACCCCUAUCCCUAGUUGCUAGCAGUUCGGCUGAGAACUCUAGGGAGACUGCCGGUGACAAACCGAAGGAAGGUGGGGAUGACGUCAGGUCAUCAUGGCCCUUACGGCCAGGGCUACACACGUGCUACAAUGGCGCGCACAGAGGGCUGCAAACCCGCGAGGGGGAGCCAAUCUCACAAAACGCGUCGUAGUCCGGAUCGCAGUCUGCAACUCGACUGCGUGAAGUCGGAAUCGCUAGUAAUCGUGAAUCAGAAUGUCACGGUGAAUACGUUCCCGGGCCUUGUACACACCGCCCGUCACACCAUGGGAGUGGAUUGCACCAGAAGUGGUUAGUCUAACCUACGGGAGGACGAUCACCACGGUGUGGUUCAUGACUGGGGUGAAGUCGUAACAAGGUAACCGUA
Molecule: ribosomal RNA, 634 nt
Filed under: uncultured Marinobacter sp.
Lineage: Bacteria; Pseudomonadati; Pseudomonadota; Gammaproteobacteria; Pseudomonadales; Marinobacteraceae
Description: bacterial SSU rRNA
Rfam family: Bacterial small subunit ribosomal RNA
Source: RNAcentral